This is a long non-coding RNA of Cygnus atratus (black swan), 2297 nucleotides long. RefSeq lists it as uncharacterized. The transcript has 10 exons. Lineage: Eukaryota; Metazoa; Chordata; Aves; Anseriformes; Anatidae. The record is from RefSeq and is a predicted model, not a curated record.
UCGUGUAUUCAAACAAAGCUUGUUUCAGAGCAGGCUUUGUCUUCAUUUAGCUUGAUUGUUAAUUUUGGAAGAUUAUAAAAAGGUACAGAUAUAGGCUGUGCAAGAAAGGGGCUUUGUUGGCCUGCUGAAGAGUGAAAAAUAAAGCCACACUGAGUAAGAGUGGAGAGUAAAAUAAAGCCAGAACAAAACGGUGUGGGGAGGAGAUCUUUAACUCUGAGCUGCAGUCGCAUGCUAUAGUGCAAUCUUUCAUAUGAUGAUGUUUCCAGAAGCCAGUUUUUCGAAAUGGACCACCAUUGCAUUGAGGGUGUAGAAGCUGCAGAUAUGUGAUUCAGUCUGUGGGCCGCCAGGCACCCAAAGUCAUGAGGAAGAAAAUCUUACCAUUGAUGGCAGCUGUCUGCUUCUGGGGCUUCACUGAUUCACCAUGCCUAACAUCAUAAACGUCCUGUCAUUUGAGUAGAUUGUAAAAAAGAUAUUGGCAAACCGAAGAAAAUGGGGAAGACAAGGAAGAGACUGGUUAAAGAGAGGACAAGUGUAAAAAGCAUCUGUCUGAAGAGGAUACUUAAGGUCUUGACAUAUAAUGCAUCAGGCUGGACUUUCUCUCCACUCUGUAAAGCAUCCAAUGAACUGCUGCUGUACAAAUGGAUUUAUAAAAGUCUCAUGAGCAAGGGUUUCUUCUAAUUUGAUUAAGUUUACAAAUUGUCUGACACCUCUGCAUGAGCUGUUUCAGAAAGCUACUGUUUCUUCUGGACUCGAUAACUGUGCAGCCUGCCAGGAAUGCCCCUACUGUUCACAUGUCAGCCGUCCUGCCUUGCCUUGGGCAGGCAUCUUGUUGGAGUUCAAACACUAACAGGUUACAAUUGAUAGCAUGUAAUCCUAACUUUGGGGACAGUAUGAUGCAAAAAUGAAUUGAAGUAUAUUUCCAUUUCCAUCUUUUUGCAACCAAUUUUACUGUUUUCUUAAGGCCAACCUUACUAUAGCUUACAAUCCUGAUUCCCCAGUUGCAAGGAAUGAAGUUUGUAAUUUGCACACUUGGAAAAAAAGGGUUACAAAAGAACAGAUGCAUGUUGUGCGCUGCAAAAUUUUUGGGUUUCCAAUUUCAUACCCCGUGGACUGUUCAUCAGAAGGCUCACAUCAUGGAAAAUGUAUCUGUGAUAUCUUUCAUGUAAGUCAGUAAUAGAGGGAUUAAGUGUUUUUUAUCAAGUCUCAGUUAUUCUGAGCAUGUCAGCUCUUGAAUGCCUCUGUUGAAGUUUACUCGCAUAGUUAAAGUAAGGCACAAAAUUUGUAGGAAUCAGCUCAGAGUAAUACAGAACCUUCCAAAAUUGCUGUUUGAAAAAUGUCCAAAUAGAUAUUCAAAUCAGUAUUACAACAUGAAUCAGAAAUGCUUUCUACAUUAUGCAGCGUACUUCAUGUGACAAGAAUAUCUCCUUUCAGAUACAGUUCUUUUUCAAAGACUGAAAAUCUUCAACUUGAUGGUACUUGAUGGCAAAAGAGUGUUAACCAAAGUAGGGUAUAAAGCUGUUGCUUGUUCACAUUCAAAUUUGAAAUAAUAAUUAAAAAAAAAAUGGAGUGGAGGAAAGAGAACUAUUUAUCAUGUCUUACCCAGUCAAACAAUUUAAACUUGUAAGCACACAUUUAUUCAUGAUCUUAAUACCAUUAGAGCACAGGUGAUUUUAUUCCUGCUGCUUUUUUUCCAUGGGUGCGCUGUCAAAGCUUCCCAGCCACCUUGGUUAAUCCACUCCAUGUGCCAAAAGUAAUUAUCCUGAGUUCUGUGCUGACUGCAACGACGUGAAACUUUGGAAUCUGUGCACCUAUGAUGUCAUCAGGGAGCCAUUAAUGUAAGAGCAGCUUCUGUAGAGGCCUGAAGGUCCGUGUCAAUUCAUCACAUGCCCAAAUACCUCUGCAUGAAAGGUAUCGAUUUAAUCAUUCUGACAGCAGGCCUGUCAGAAAUGUAAUUGUCCACUGAAAGUACAAGUGUGUAAAUGGACAUCCCAGCAAAAGGCAGCAAUCUUUCAAGGUAACAUUUUACAUUAUUCAGAUCAUUCCCGCUUGUUUUCUUCCUCCUCUUGCUGCCAGCCCAAGCCUGUUAUUGAUAUAAAGGUUGAAGCUCAGACAGCUUAACUGUUAUGUGGAAUGACCUUUACUUUUAAUAUUAAUAUAUUAUUGUAAAGUCUAUGAGACUCAUAAAUGCAAUUUUAGAAUUCAUAUGAAAUGCCAUGUGCUGAACCUAUUGCAACUUUUCCUCUAGUCCUGUGGCAGGUUGCAAACUAUGUGAAUUAAUAUGCAUCAUAUUCUUUCUC